ACACGCUGGCGGCGUGCCUAACACAUGCAAGUCAACUUGACUGAAGGGAGCAAUCUGACAGUAGAGUGGCGCAAGGGUGCGUAACGCGUAAGUAACUUGCCCCAAGGUAAGGAAUAACGUCGAGAAAUCGGCGCUAAUACCUCAUAAUGCAGCGGAUCCGCAUGGAUAUGUUGUUAAAGGUUUACCGCCUUGGGAUAGGCUUGCGUCUGAUUAGCUAGUUGGUGUGGUAACGGCACACCAAGGCUACGAUCAGUAACUGGUCUGAGAGGAUGAUCAGUCACACUGGAACUGAGACACGGUCCAGACUCCUACGGGAGGCAGCAGUGAGGAAUAUUGGGCAAUGCUCGAAAGAGUGACCCAGCAACGCCGCGUGGAGGAUGAAGGUAUUCUAUAUCGUAAACUCCUGUGAGAGCAGACGAAAGACAGAUUAUUAAUCUGGAUGACUGUAUGCUCAGAGGAAGCCCCGGCUAACUACGUG
RNAcentral lists this ribosomal RNA (478 nucleotides) under uncultured bacterium. RNAcentral's name for it is "bacterial SSU rRNA". It matches the Rfam family "Bacterial small subunit ribosomal RNA", at positions 33 to 507 of the family's 1533-position model. The record is from RNAcentral.